UAGGGAAUCUUCGGCAAUGGACGGAAGUCUGACCGAGCAACGCCGCGUGAGUGAAGAAGGUUUUCGGAUCGUAAAGCUCUGUUGUAAGAGAAGAACGAGUGUGAGAGUGGAAAGUUCACACUGUGACGGUAUCUUACCAGAAAGGGACGGCUAACUACGUGCCAGCAGCCGCGGUAAUACGUAGGUCCCGAGCGUUGUCCGGAUUUAUUGGGCGUAAAGCGAGCGCAGGCGGUUAGAUAAGUCUGAAGUUAAAGGCUGUGGCUUAACCAUAGUAGGCUUUGGAAACUGUUUGACUUGAGUGCAAGAGGGGAGAGUGGAAUUCCAUGUGUAGCGGUGAAAUGCGUAGAUAUAUGGAGGAACACCGGUGGCGAAAGCGGCUCUCUGGCUUGUAACUGACGCUGAGGCUCGAAAGCGUGGGGAGCAAACAGGAUUAGAUACCCUGGUAGUCCACGCUGUAAACGAUGAGUGCUAGGUGUUAGACCCUUUCCGGGGUUUAGUGCCGUAGCUAACGCAUUAAGCACUCCGCCUGGGGAGUACGACCGCAAGGUUG
Molecule: ribosomal RNA, 550 nt
Filed under: uncultured bacterium
Lineage: Bacteria
Description: bacterial SSU rRNA
Rfam family: Bacterial small subunit ribosomal RNA
Source: RNAcentral